Molecule: transfer RNA, 81 nt
Filed under: Paragonimus heterotremus
Lineage: Eukaryota; Metazoa; Platyhelminthes; Trematoda; Plagiorchiida; Troglotrematidae
Rfam family: tRNA
About the family: Transfer RNA (tRNA) molecules are approximately 80 nucleotides in length. Their secondary structure includes four short double-helical elements and three loops (D, anti-codon, and T loops).
Source: Rfam by way of RNAcentral
GGCUUCGUAGCUCAGCUGGUAGAGCGCUUGCCGCGUAGAGGCAUAGUGUUUCUAUCGCUAGUUCGAAUCCAGCCGAAGCCC